Molecule: ribosomal RNA, 406 nt
Filed under: uncultured bacterium
Lineage: Bacteria
Description: partial 16S ribosomal RNA
Rfam family: Bacterial small subunit ribosomal RNA
Source: RNAcentral
AUUGAACGCUGGCGGCAGGCCUAACACAUGCAAGUCGAGCGCGCGGCGGACGGGUGAGAAAUGUCUGGGAAACUGCCUGAUGGAGGGGGAUAACUACUGUAAACGCUAGCUAAUACCGCAUACCCUCAGAUGUGCCCAGAUGGGAUUAGCUAGUAGGUGGGGUAUCGGCUCACCUAGGCGACGAUCCCUAGCUGGUCUGAGAGGAUGACCAGCCACACUGGAACUGAGACACGGUCCAGACUCCUACGGGAGGCAGCAGUGGGGAAUAUUGCACAAUGGGCGCAAGCCUGAUGCAGCCAUGCCGCGUGUGUGAAGAAGGCCUUCGGGUUGUAAAGCACUUUCAGCGGGGAGGCGUUACCCGCAGAAGAAGCACCGGCUAACUCCGUGCCAGCAGCCGCGGUAAUAC